This 3518-nucleotide long non-coding RNA is filed under the name Homo sapiens (human). RNAcentral's name for it is "non-protein coding lnc-CAVIN2-3:1". The record is from RNAcentral. Lineage: Eukaryota; Metazoa; Chordata; Mammalia; Primates; Hominidae.
GAGUUAUCCAUGCCCCGUGGACUUGGUAAGCUUUACUCCCUGGUGUCACCAGAGUAUACCAGCUACCUGGUUCCUGCUGCAUGCUUGCAAAUAACUUGGUUCCAGUGAUUUCUCACGGAGGUGACUAAAUCAAUUGGUAGGCUUAGUGUUUGUGUAUACAAAGACUUAGAACCUGUUUUGCGUGUGCGAUUUUAGUUUCUGUGAUCUUUCCAGUCAUUAUCGUCUACAAGCUGUUGGCCCUGAGAAUUAUUUACAUUUUAAUUAGGAGUGCUCAACCCCCUCUAUGAGUAGAGUCAAGCAGCUUAUUUACUUCCUACUGGCAGGCUUCUGAGGAAACAGCUUAGGCAAACUUGCUGAGCCAUUGAGCCAAAAUAAAGUCACUUGCAGAAGAGCAACACCAUGUCCUCACUUCUUAGCUUUGCUUCUCUGCUGGGGCUUCUCAUGGGGACCAAAACUGAAGUGAGCUGCUCUAUGCAGCAAUCAAACUACUGCCUCAUUUUUUUUUUCUUCCCUUUUCUCUGGAUGAAGCAAACUUUUUAAUAGGUUUCAUUUGCAUAUAUAAUUAGCACUCAUUUUUUUAGCAUAGCCAGGGAGUGAGUUUGUUCUCCACGUGCCUUUUCAGAUAAGCUUAUCCUUUUAAUCACUUAAGCUUUUCCUUGUUUACAAAGAAAUAUUUUUACAUACUAUUCAGCCUCAUUCCCCUUCUGAAACAGAGUAAACAGAAAGCAAACUUCCUUUGAUGACAGACACAUGACUGUCAUUAUGGGUUAGUCACUGAACUAUGCUCUCAUACCCACAAGAGCUACAGAGAUGGGAGAACUUGUUUGCCCCAGCAUUAAAUAACCCCACAAUGCUGCCUCUUGAGUUCUUGGUUCUGCCUUCAUGUCUCUCCCUUCUCUGUCCAGCUGCCUGUCUCUAACUUUCUCUAUUUCUAGAGAAUAGAGAAAGUUAUUUCUAAUCUGCCAGAAACUAGGAAAUCAGAUAAGCCUGCUUCCUAGAACUGAGAAAUCAGAUAAGCCUGUUUCCUAGAACUAAAUGUCUGACAUAAUGUUCUGUGAGAGAAGUGCAUGAACUUCCAUGCAUACUUGGCUAUUGCUUAGGAUGCUUUUGGCUGCAAAUAAUUGAAAACGCUGAUUCAUCAUGGCUUAAAUAACAAAGAAAUUUAUUGCCUCCCAGAACAAGAAGACUCCAAGUAAGAUACAAUCCAGGAAGGGUACUACAGGCUGCAUUUUACUCCUGGGGGAUUCGACCAGCUCUGUCUUCUCCCACCGUUGGCUUCGUCUUCCAGCUGGUGGCAAUAUGGCUGCCGUGGUUCCAGGGCCACUCUAGAUGCACCAAUGUUCCAAAAAAGGAGAGAGAACAUCAACUUCUGUGUGUCUUUUAGGAGAAGGAAACCUUUUCCAGAGGCUUGCCAGCUGACUUCCCCCAAAGAGACCAGAAUUGCCCUUUCCUAAGUCAACCACUGAAUAAAGGAAUAGAAUUCUCAAGGUUGACUUUGGCUAACUAGUAUCCAUCCUGGAUCAAAUUGAAAUUCUCUUGGGAAAAAGAAGAGGAAAAGUGGACAUUGGGAAGAAAGCAACGUAUGUGCUAGAAAUGAGAAUUAUUUGUCUGCUUAUGAUUUUAUAACUGUAUCUACAAUGAGUUAAGACUUGGUGGAACAGAUCGACUUUUAGAAAAGUGAAAUAUUAUUUUAAAAUCAAAUCAAAUGGUAACCAGAGAUAUUUAGUGAAAAACUAGCUUUGACAUGAACCUAAAAAUGGAGACAAAGUUUGGUGUUGCUUUCAUGUGAAUAUUACAGCACUUGAAUGAUUCAACCUAGAGUUCAUAGUGCAUUACAAGGAAAUGUACAAAGAAAGGGGCUGUUGAGAGGAAAGUGACACAGGGUCCCAGUACUUAAGGAAUACCUUUCAGAAGGAUGGAUGAAUAUGAAGAAACUAAGGAGCAAAGGAAUCAAGGAUUUCUUCCAGUCCACCUGGGAAGUUAGCUGCAUAGUUAGAAAUAGAACUCUAGACUCCUGGCCUGUUUUCCAAACCACAGAUAUGCUUGGUUUAUGCAGGUAAGGUUUUAGUUUGGGGUGUUGUUUUUAAACAAACGCUGUAAAACUAUGCUAGGGGCAGGCAAAGUUUGUGGGUAUUAGAGACCAAAUGACCGUGAAAUCAUAGCAUCAGUAUGUGCGGUGUUUUAGGAAUGUCAAUGUGGCUCAAAAAGAAUUUCUGUGAAAAAUAUGGACUCUCAACUCUCCUCUCCAAGGCAUCUUUAGUUACUAACCAGUUAGGAGACUGAGCCCCAAGCCUGUCUCUUACCCAUUCCAUCCCAAUGUAUACGAAAGGCUAGAUGCUAUGAAUGUGGUGAUAACAUCUUCCAGAAACCUCCAUCAUUCAUUUUAUCCUUGUGACUUCUCUGGUAACUCACCAUCUUAAAGGAUGAAAUUUUCUUUUUACUGCAAAGUUUCAGAGUCACUUCAGACUUCAGUGAGAUCAUAGCAUGCGUUUCUCUUGGACUAGGACCAGGCAAAGAGUCUCACUGAGUCACAGUCAGGGCAGGGACUCCCUCCAUCCCCAGGCCAGCCUUAUUAUGUACAAAUGUGCUACCUUGUCACCUAAAGUAUAAAUGAAGUAAAGGUUUAUUCCUGUUCCAGUUUCAAUUUGACCAAGCUUCCACCACAGCCAUACACCUGUUACUGCAUUUGUUAUUAUGCUGUAGAACUUUCUGCAGAAUAUAACCCUUCUCAUUCCUCAUAUUAUACAAUGGACAUAUUCCAGAAAGUAGACUAGCCCCAGGAUUGAUGAAAGCCUUCUUUUUGCUUCACAGCUCAGGACUUUUGCGAAUUAUCAGCAUAUUCAGUCCUGACUGGAAAUGUCAAAAUGUUUCAAAUUCACAAACUAUAGCAGAUAAUUUGGCUGAAAACAAUUUGGCUAAAUGAAAUUUUGCCAAAGAUAAUUUGAUCAAAUAUAAAGUACUUAUAGUUUACUUUAAACUUUAUUUUAAAAGUAACUUUGUCAACAGAACAAUUGGUACAAAUAAUACUUAUUGAAAAUGGGUGAAUACAAUCACUGGUUUUUCAGUGUUGGUAAUUUUAGUGUGUAUGUAUCACAAGGUAGUGAGGCAGUUCUCUGCGUCAUCAGCAUUUUUGUCUGAUUGUCACAACUGGUUCCUUUUUUGUCAAUUAUUUAUGUUAUUUGCUUCUUACAAUACUGAAAAGUUGGAAAAGAGAAUUGUUCAACAACAAUAUAUAUUUGAAACAACCUAAAUAACCAACAAAAUUGGACUGGCUAAAACCUAAAGAGCAAGUAAUAGGGAAAUCUAUUAAAACUGGGAAUUAUAUAUUUUGUUCCGUGCUUUAUUUUAUUAUUUCAGUUCUUUGUUUAUUUUCCCCGGUAUAAAAGCAAUGUUACUCAAUAAAAGAAAUUAGAAAAUACAGAUAUGCAAAAAAAAAAAAGGGGGCAUUGUAAGUCACCUACCUGGUUGAAACUUUGAGUAAUUUCCUCUCAGGUCGUUUUUAAUGUGCCUACACACAU